GACGAACGCUGGCGGCGUGCCUAAUACAUGCAAGUAGAACGCUGAAGGAGGAGCUUGCUUCUCUGGAUGAGUUGCGAACGGGUGAGUAACGCGUAGGUAACCUGCCUGGUAGCGGGGGAUAACUAUUGGAAACGAUAGCUAAUACCGCAUAAGAGUAGAUGUUGCAUGGCGUUUGCUUAAAAGUUGCAGUUGCAUCACUACCAGAUGGACCUUCGUUGUUUUAGCUAGUUGGUGGGGUAACGGCUCACCAAGGCGAGGAUACAUAGCCGACCUGAGAGGGUGGUAGGCCGCACUGGGAGGGAGACACGGACCAGAGGACUACGGGAGGCAGCAGUAGGCAAUCUUCGGCAAUGGACGGGAGUCUGACCGAGCGACGCCGAGUGAGUGAAGAAGGGUCUCGGAUCGGAAAGAUCGGUUGUAAGAUAAGAACGGGUGUGAGAGUGGAAAGUUCACAGUGUGACGGUAUCUGAUCAGAAAGAGACGGCUAACUACGUG
This 495-nucleotide ribosomal RNA is filed under the name uncultured bacterium. Its description in RNAcentral is "partial 16S ribosomal RNA". It matches the Rfam family "Bacterial small subunit ribosomal RNA", at positions 28 to 507 of the family's 1533-position model. The record is from RNAcentral.